GGGCGCGUAGCUCAACUGGUAGAGCAGGCGACUUUUAAUCGUCGGGUUCGGGGUUCGAGUCCCUGCGCGCCCAC
Molecule: transfer RNA, 74 nt
Filed under: Nocardia ninae NBRC 108245
Lineage: Bacteria; Bacillati; Actinomycetota; Actinomycetes; Mycobacteriales; Nocardiaceae
Description: tRNA-Lys
Rfam family: tRNA
About the family: Transfer RNA (tRNA) molecules are approximately 80 nucleotides in length.
Source: RNAcentral